GGUUAAGCGACUAAGCGUACACGGUGGAUGCCCUGGCAGUCAGAGGCGAUGAAGGGCGUACUAAUCUGCGAUAAGCGCCGGUAAGGUGAUAUGAACCGUUAUAACCGGCGAUACCCGAAUGGGGAAACCCAGUGUGAUUCGUCACACUAUCAUUAACUGAAUCCAUAGGUUAAUGAGGCGAACCGGGGGAACUGAAACAUCUAAGUACCCCGAGGAAAAGAAAUCAACCGAGAUUCCCCCAGUAGCGGCGAGCGAACGGGGAGGAGCCCAGAGCCUGAAUCAGCAUGUGUGUUAGUGGAAGCGUCUGGAAAGGCGCGCGAUACAGGGUGACAGCCCCGUACACAAAAGCGCAUGUGCUGUGAGCUCGAUGAGUAGGGCGGGACACGUGGUAUCCUGUCUGAAUAUGGGGGGACCAUCCUCCAAGGCUAAAUACUCCUGACUGACCGAUAGUGAACCAGUACCGUGAGGGAAAGGCGAAAAGAACCCCGGCGAGGGGAGUGAAAAAGAACCUGAAACCGUGUACGUACAAGCAGUGGGAGCACAGGUUUACCUGUGUGACUGCGUACCUUUUGUAUAAUGGGUCAGCGACUUAUAUUCUGUAGCAAGGUUAACCGAAUAGGGGAGCCGGAGGGAAACCGAGUCUUAAUUGGGCGUUAAGUUGCAGGGUAUAGACCCGAAACCCGGUGAUCUAGCCAUGGGCAGGUUGAAGGUUGGGUAACACUAACUGGAGGACCGAACCGACUAAUGUUGAAAAAUUAGCGGAUGACCUGUGGCUGGGGGUGAAAGGCCAAUCAAACCGGGAGAUAGCUGGUUCUCCCCGAAAGCUAUUUAGGUAGCGCCUCGUGAAUUCAUCUCCGGGGGUAGAGCACUGUUUCGGCUAGGGGGCCAUCCCGGCUUACCAACCCGAUGCAAACUGCGAAUACCGGAGAAUGUUAUCACGGGAGACACACGGCGGGUGCUAACGUCCGUCGUGAAGAGGGAAACAACCCAGACCGCCAGCUAAGGUCCCAAAGUCAUGGUUAAGUGGGAAACGAUGUGGGAAGGCCCAGACAGCCAGGAUGUUGGCUUAGAAGCAGCCAUCAUUUAAAGAAAGCGUAAUAGCUCACUGGUCGAGUCGGCCUGCGCGGAAGAUGUAACGGGGCUAAACCAUG
Molecule: ribosomal RNA, 1151 nt
Filed under: Salmonella enterica
Lineage: Bacteria; Pseudomonadati; Pseudomonadota; Gammaproteobacteria; Enterobacterales; Enterobacteriaceae
Also listed under: 2 other names
Description: partial 23S ribosomal RNA
Rfam family: Bacterial large subunit ribosomal RNA
Source: RNAcentral